RNAcentral lists this ribosomal RNA (512 nucleotides) under uncultured beta proteobacterium. RNAcentral's name for it is "bacterial SSU rRNA". It matches the Rfam family "Bacterial small subunit ribosomal RNA", at positions 9 to 524 of the family's 1533-position model. Lineage: Bacteria; Pseudomonadati; Pseudomonadota; Betaproteobacteria. The record is from RNAcentral.
GAGUUUGAUCAUGGCUCAGAUUGAACGCUGGCGGCAUGCCUUACACAUGCAAGUCGAACGGUAACAGGUUAAGCUGACGAGUGGCGAACGGGUGAGUAAUGUAUCGGAACGUGCCCAGUCGUGGGGGAUAACUGCUCGAAAGAGCAGCUAAUACCGCAUACGACCUGAGGGUGAAAGCGGGGGACCGUAAGGCUUCGCGCGAUUGGAGCGGCCGAUAUCAGAUUAGCUAGUUGGUGAGGUAACGGCCCACCAAGGCGACGAUCAGUAUCCGGCCUGAGAGGGCGGACGGACACACUGGGACUGAGACACGGCCCAGACUCCUACGGGAGGCAGCAGUGGGGAAUUGUUCACAAUGGGCGCAAGCCUGAUGACGCAACGCCGCGUGGAGGAUGAAGGUCUUCGGAUUGUAAACUCCUGUUGCCCGGGACGAAAAGCUUCAACCUAAUACGUUGAAGUCUGACGGUACCGGGUGAGGAAGCCCCGGCUAACUCUGUGCCAGCCGCCGCCGUAAU